UACGAAGGGUGCAAGCGUUACUCGGAAUUACUGGGCGUAAAGCGUGCGUAGGCGGUUUGUUAAGUCAGCUGUGAAAGCCCCGGGCUCAACCUGGGAACUGCAGUUGAUACUGGCCGACUGGAGUGCGAGAGAGGGAGGUAGAAUUCCAUGUGUAGCGGUGAAAUGCGUAGAUAUAUGGAGGAAUACCGGUGGCGAAGGCGGCCUCCUGGCUCGACACUGACGCUGAGGUGCGAAAGCGUGGGGAUCAAACAGG
This 253-nucleotide ribosomal RNA is filed under the name uncultured bacterium. RNAcentral's name for it is "partial 16S ribosomal RNA". It matches the Rfam family "Bacterial small subunit ribosomal RNA", at positions 524 to 776 of the family's 1533-position model. The record is from RNAcentral.